Molecule: long non-coding RNA, 1847 nt
Filed under: Sorghum bicolor (sorghum)
Lineage: Eukaryota; Viridiplantae; Streptophyta; Magnoliopsida; Poales; Poaceae
Description: long non-coding RNA (SBIC_LNC006766)
Source: RNAcentral
CAAAGUCCGCUUUAUCCCUCCAAAGGCAGCCCCGAAGCACGCCCUCAACGCUCUUGAGACACCUCCUAAGCGUCGCAAUACUAUAGCAGAUGUAGAUGAGGACGUUCGUAGGUUAGACAAGGUCAUCAUAGAGCUCCAGUCCUCGGUUAACUCUAUCAAUAGGCAGCUCUCUAACCAGAACACCGUUAUACUAGGUCUUAAGCAUGAUUUUGCUAGUGUCAAUAAGAAGAUUAGGGAGUUACAGCAUCGCUAAGUUAUUUAGAUUAGAUCUUGAGGCGGUAUAUAUCUUAGUUAUUCAUCUUUAGAUUCGGCUUAAAUCUAUUAUUAGCUUCAGUUCGUUAUUAGUCAGUUGUAAUAAAUGCCUCAAGAUUAAUAAAGAUUAUUAUUAUUAUUAUUAUUAUUAUUAUUAUUAUUAUUAUUAUUAUUAUUAUUAUUAUUAUUAUUAUUAUUAUUAUUAUUAUUAUUAUUAUUAUGUCUUGUGUGUCUCUACUCUAUUUUUAUGCAAGAAAGCAAAAAACAAGUAUGGGGGAGAUCCCCGACAUGCCAAACACACUUCGACCACACCACUCCACGAUUCAGGUACAUAAUCUGCACACUUUACACAUACGCAUAUAUCUUGGUUCGUGCAGAAUAUUGUCUCCGAUAUGAUAAAUUAAAUUAAUUAAAAUAUUUCUAAUCAUGAUUAAUCUCACUCUGUGAUAUUUUCUGAAAACCUGCAAUUAUUGAAAAAUCAUUUUAAAACCCCGUGUUACUUAAGUCACUGUAGAAUGUGAGAUGGUAGAGUAUGAGUAUCUUAUUCUUGAUAUCGUUGUUGCUUGGAGAAUUUAUUUCAAAAAUUCUAGCUACCAUCCUCAGUGUUUUAUAUGCCUGCUAAACCUGAAAAUUAAAUAAUUAGAAAAGCUAUCUGCUCUGUAUUGAGUUUGUUCAAAACGAGUUAAACCCUUGUUGAGAGAUUUACCAUGCUCCUAAAAUCAAGACAUAUAUUCAGAAAGAUUCACUCUUUCAAAGUAUUAUUUCGUUAGAGGCAUGGGCUAUGCAAAAAUAUAAAUAUUUCGAGAAAAUAAAAAGGAGCAAGUGCUCGACAACCUCGUAGAAAAAAAUAGACAAGUGUCUGGCAGUAGAAUUAGGGGUACUUCGGUAUCCACCUCAAAAAAAAAAGAAGAAAAAGAGAAAAGAAAGAAGAAAAUGAUAGCGCAUGGUCCCUCUAAUAAGCAAUAUGCCAGUAAAAGUUGACAAGUUUUUAAUUUCCAAAGUCUUUGAUCUAAGAGUACAACAUUUCUCUCCUCGGAUCCUGUUUUGAUCGUGUCGGUGUUUUCCCCCCGGGGGGUCACACCAACGAGUAAAUUUGUAUGCGUGCUCCCUUUCCCAGAUGGUGAUGCAAGAAGACACAGAGAUUUAUCCUGGUUCGGGCAAGAGGAGGCCCUACGUCCAGCGGGGGGGAGAAGUUUGUAUUAUCUUGCACCUAAGUGCUUGUACCGGGGUGAAUACAAGCGCGGUAUGAAGUGUGCGUGCCUUACUGCGUAUGUGUGUAGUAUCGCGUGGUGAUGUCUCUCUUGUGUUCUAUUCCUGAGUCCCUCCUUUUAUAGUUCCAAGGAGAGACCCAGGGUACAUGUAUAGGCGUCAGAAUAGGAGUCGAUAGCAGUAUGGAGCGCUGACCUACUCGAGGCUCCCGUACCGGCAUGGCCUCGAGCUGUCCUAUCUUAAUAGCCUGGUGAUGAUUACGCGUGCCCCUGCAUUCUGCUCUGCGCGCCGUCUUGUACUGGUUCAACGGUCGCAUGCUCAUACGGUUUGGCGGCAAAUCCGGCGGAGUGGUUGCGGCGUGGCCAGUCGACGUCCGACCCGUCCCC